Molecule: ribosomal RNA, 253 nt
Filed under: uncultured bacterium
Lineage: Bacteria
Description: partial 16S ribosomal RNA
Rfam family: Bacterial small subunit ribosomal RNA
Source: RNAcentral
GACGUAGGGCGCGAGCGUUGUCCGGAUUUAUUGGGCGUAAAGAGCUCGUAGGCGGCUUGUCGCGUCGUCUGUGAAAUCCCGCGGCUCAACCGCGGGUCUGCAAUCGAUACGGGCAGGCUAGAGUUCGGUAGGGGAGACUGGAAUUCCUGGUGUAGCGGUGAAAUGCGCAGAUAUCAGGAGGAACACCGGUGGCGAAGGCGGGUCUCUGGGCCGAUACUGACGCUGAGGAGCGAAAGCGUGGGGAGCAAACAGG